AUGGAGAUCUUCUUUCUACUGAUGACGCCACUGAGUAUCGCAGUCUUGUUGGCGGUCUGCAAUAUCUCACUAUCACCAGGCCUGAUGUCUCUUAUGCAGUCAACCGUGUGUGCCAGUACCUUCAUGCACCUCGUACCACUCAUUUCUCGGCAGUUAAGCGCAUUCUGCGAUUGGGCUGGAAGUCCUGAUGAUCGGCGAUCCACAGGGGGAUAUGCAGUGUUCUUUGGUCCUAACUUGAUCACCUGGAAUGCUCGCAAGCAAGCCACCGUGUCUCGUAGCAGUACUGAAGCUGAGUAUAAAGCAGUUGCUGAUGCCACCGCUGAGAUCAUAUGGGUACAGUCCUUAUUGCGGGAGUUGAGAAUCUCUCCAGGUCAUCCUCCAGUUCUGUGGUGUGACAACAUCGGUGCUACAUAUCUUUCAUCUAAUCCGGUGUUUCAUGCUAGGACGAAACACAUUGAGGUUGACUAUCACUUUGUUCGGGAACGUGUUGCAUAG
RNAcentral lists this ribosomal RNA (495 nucleotides) under Triticum aestivum (bread wheat). RNAcentral's name for it is "partial small subunit ribosomal RNA". The record is from RNAcentral. Lineage: Eukaryota; Viridiplantae; Streptophyta; Magnoliopsida; Poales; Poaceae.